UAAGUUGUAGCUAAUGUCUAAGCACUCCACUUACGCUGGAGGGAUUGCCUUUAUCGGCACUACUUAA
RNAcentral lists this transfer RNA (67 nucleotides) under Macrobrachium rosenbergii (giant freshwater prawn). RNAcentral's name for it is "tRNA-Val". Lineage: Eukaryota; Metazoa; Arthropoda; Malacostraca; Decapoda; Palaemonidae. The record is from RNAcentral.